Molecule: ribosomal RNA, 859 nt
Filed under: uncultured bacterium
Lineage: Bacteria
Description: bacterial SSU rRNA
Rfam family: Bacterial small subunit ribosomal RNA
Source: RNAcentral
UGUGCCAGCCGCCGCGGUAAUACAGAGGGUGCGAGCGUUAAUCGGAUUUACUGGGCGUAAAGCGUGCGUAGGCGGCUUUUUAAGUCGGAUGUGAAAUCCCCGAGCUUAACUUGGGAAUUGCAUUCGAUACUGGGAAGCUAGAGUAUGGGAGAGGAUGGUAGAAUUCCAGGUGUAGCGGUGAAAUGCGUAGAGAUCUGGAGGAAUACCGAUGGCGAAGGCAGCCAUCUGGCCUAAUACUGACGCUGAGGUACGAAAGCAUGGGGAGCAAACAGGAUUAGAUACCCUGGUAGUCCAUGCCGUAAACGAUGUCUACUAGCCGUUGGGGCCUUUGAGGCUUUAGUGGCGCAGCUAACGCGAUAAGUAGACCGCCUGGGGAGUACGGUCGCAAGACUAAAACUCAAAUGAAUUGACGGGGGCCCGCACAAGCGGUGGAGCAUGUGGUUUAAUUCGAUGCAACGCGAAGAACCUUACCUGGCCUUGACAUACUAGAAACUUUCCAGAGAUGGAUUGGUGCCUUCGGGAAUCUAGAUACAGGUGCUGCAUGGCUGUCGUCAGCUCGUGUCGUGAGAUGUUGGGUUAAGUCCCGCAACGAGCGCAACCCUUUUCCUUACUUGCCAGCAUUUCGGAUGGGAACUUUAAAGAUACUGCCAGUGACAAACUGGAGGAAGGCGGGGACGACGUCAAGUCAUCAUGGCCCUUACGGCCAGGGCUACACACGUGCUACAAUGGUCGGUACAAAGGGUUGCUACACAGCGAUGUGAUGCUAUCUCAAAAAGCGAUCGUAGUCCGGAUGAGUCUGCACUCGACUCAUGAGUCGAUCGCUAGUAUCGCGGAUCAGAUGCCGCGGGUGAAUACGAUC